Molecule: long non-coding RNA, 2907 nt
Organism: Xiphias gladius (swordfish)
Lineage: Eukaryota; Metazoa; Chordata; Actinopteri; Istiophoriformes; Xiphiidae
Exons: 3
Source: RefSeq, a predicted model, not a curated record
UCAUCCGUGCAGGUGAUCGCACCUGGGCACCCUAAAACAUGUCAAGUUGUCACUGCCCUGCCCUGAGUUUCGCUUUGCUGCGGUGCUGCUGCUGCCCAUGUAGCAUCUCCUGAGCAAACUAGCUUGCCAAAAGUAUGGUUGUUUCACUCGAGGACGACUUUCUUUGAGGAUGUUAUUGCUGCUGCCACCGCUCAGCUACCCAGUUUUGUCUGCCAUUUGUCGUAAUCAACAGUGGGCCUAAAACAUUUAAAACUGUCCAGACGUUGGAGUUUUCUGUAGCUCCUGUGACAACUUAGCACCACAACUUCUCCCAAAGAGUGCAAGAUAGCCUACCUUCACUUCGCUAAGGUACUUCUGCAAGCUGUAAGCCGUUCACCACAACAGCUGUCAUGGCUAUAAUCUCCAUGGUUAGAGAUGGACAGAUAUCAUCUCCAAACUAGCUUUUCAAUUCACUCUGCACCUUCCAGGCUGGAAGGAGAAGCCUCUGCCUGUUUCCAGGAUGACCAGGUGCUCUGCACCGAAACGUUGCGGCUGUCCACCUUUUCAGAUGGAGCUGCUGCUUCGGAAUCUGUUGUACAACGUCAUCCCUGGUGCCCGAGCAGGUUGGUCACCCGCAUUCCCACUGCUGCUUCUUCAGGCCUCCAACAUUCAUAGUACCAAUACACACCAUAUCUGGAUACCUUGCUCUCUCCCCGCUAAAUCUGGUGCUUUGAGCUGUGGAGUAAAUGCUGCACAUCUCCGUCUGUUAGAAUUUUGUGGAAAUACAAAAUAUAAAUACACCUCUCCUUCUAGCUGUGCCCUCUUAAAUAUAAGGUCUCUGACUAAAAGCUUUUACCCUAAAUGACUUUAUCUCUACCAAUAAAUUGGACUUUCUCUUCUUAUCUGACACAUGGCUUAGAACUGGCGACAUAAGUGCUUUUUAGAAAUUAUGUUCCCCCAAUUAUACAUUCUUCAACUCCCCUAGUCUCAGUGGUAGGAGAGGUGGACUUGCAGUUGUCUUUAAAAAAAUAUUUAAACUGUGCCUUCAUCUCAGUGGAGAAACCUCCCAGCUUUGAAGUACUGAUGUUCAAAAUCAAACUUGAUGUCCCUGUGUGCAGUACUAUUAUUUAUCCUCCUCCUAAACCCAAUUGUAAUUUUUUUUAUUGUAAUUUUCAGAUUUGAUUUAUUCUAUUAUUCUUAGUUAUGAUUACAUUUUAUUGGUUGGUGGUUAUAAUAUUCAUGUUGAUCAUCCUGACAAUCCUUUUACAUCUGAAUUUUUAACUAUAUGUAAUAUAUGUAUGCAACAAUGUAAGUGAUAUGGUUGAUCAAUUUAAUACCAUGUGCUUGAGAACUCUGGACCAAACAGCAUGUAUGACAGCUAGGACAUGUCGUCCCUCCAACCCAAGGCCGUGGAUAAACAAAAAUAUUAAAAAGUAAAUACAAGAACUUUAAGUUCAUUGAUUCCAUAUGAGGGAGCUAUUAUAUUUAUUUAAUUCACUGUUAAAGAGUGAAAGACUUUCUUAUUUUUCCAAUCUAGUUGCCUCUAAAAAACAUAAUAUUUUAUAAAGUAUUUUGCUGAAUAUAAAGAAAAUAUCAAACCAUCAGUUACUCAUGCUAGCUCACUUAUACCCUCACCUGAGCUCUCACCCGCCACCACCCUUAGGGAUUUGGUAGAAAUUGUUUCCCACACUAAUCUCACUACUUGUAAAUUUUAUAUUCUCCCUUCGAAGUUAUUGAAGUUUUUGGAGUCCUCACAGUCUGGCUUCUUAGCAUUGUGAACAAGUUAUUCUGUCUGGUCUGGUCCAGGAUUAUUCUUAACAGGCCUCUAUCCAACCUCUCCUUAAGAAGCCUGGUUUAGACCCGAAACUCCCCCAUAACUACCGCCCAUAUCCAAAUCACCUUUAGUUUCAAAAAUUGUUAAAAAGGUAAUUGCUAAGCAACUUUUAGAGAUAAUGCAAGGAAACAAUAUAUUUGACAAAUUGUAAUCUGGCUUUAGAAGGAACUAUAGUACAGAAACAGCCCUACUCAGAGUAGCAACAUCCUAAUGAGUGCAGACUCUGGUAAUAUCACGAUUCUCAUUUUGCUGGACCUGAGUGUAGCCUUCAACAAACUCUGGAACUGGGUAGCCUAGGUAGAACUGCUCUCGACUGGUUUACAUCUUGUUUAUCAGAGUAUUCAAUGUCACUGUUGACAACUUUAGUUCUUCAACUGCUCUAAGGUCUUCAGGGGUCCCAGAGAGCUCAGUCAUUGGCUCUGUUUCGUUCAGUUUGUAUCUGUUGCCCCUUGCCAUUUCACUCCUGUGUCCGACCAUUGUUACUCUGAUGACUCCCUGUUGUAUGUCUUGUUUAGCCCUGAAAAUCUUAACAAUCUAGAUCUUGCUGCCAUUAAGGACUGGAUGACUACUAACUUCUUGCGACUGAAAACCGUCCUGGUUUUUGGUCCCGAUCAUAUUACUAACAGUGUUACAGUGUUACUUACAAAUUAGAAAUAUUGCUUAAGUCCAACCAAUGCUCCCAAAAAAUGAGUUGAACAACUUAUCCAUACCCUCAUUUCCUCCGGCUUAGACUACUGCAACUCAUUAUUUACUGGCCUUAACGAUUGGAGCAGUUGCCUGUUUACAGUUGGUGUAAAACACAGCAGCAAGACUUCUCACAAACACUCAAUGCAGGGAACAUGUUACUCCAGUCCUAGCUGAAUUACACUGGCUGUUAAAAGUUCCACGUUCCAGGCUUAAAAGAAGGGGUGGACUAUGCUUUUUCUGUUUUAGCUCCAGCAUUGUUGAACAAACUCCCUGUCACUAUCAGUGCAGGUGAUUCAGUGCCUUAGUUCAAAAAGCUUUUAAAAACCUACCUGCACAGAUUGGCAUUUUUUAUAAUAAUUAAUAAUGUCUACUCAGAUGUUUUAAACUUGUUCUUUUUUAUCUUUCUU